GCCUUAGUGGUGUAAUGGUAGCACACUCGGCACGUACUCGAGAGGUCCAGGUUCGAGUCCCGGCGAAGGCA
RNAcentral lists this transfer RNA (71 nucleotides) under Stegodyphus mimosarum. It matches the Rfam family "tRNA". From Rfam's summary of the family: Transfer RNA (tRNA) molecules are approximately 80 nucleotides in length. The record is from Rfam by way of RNAcentral. Lineage: Eukaryota; Metazoa; Arthropoda; Arachnida; Araneae; Eresidae.